Molecule: ribosomal RNA, 253 nt
Filed under: uncultured bacterium
Lineage: Bacteria
Description: partial 16S ribosomal RNA
Rfam family: Bacterial small subunit ribosomal RNA
Source: RNAcentral
UACGAAGGACCCGAGCGUUAUCCGGAUUUAUUGGGUUUAAAGGGUGCGUAGGCGGAUUUACAAGUCAGUGGUGAAAUCUCCCGGCUUAACCGGGAAACUGCCAUUGAAACUGUUUAUCUUGAGUACAUUUGAGGCGGGCGGAAUGUGUCAUGUAGAGGUGAAAUUCUUAGAUAUGACACAGAACACCAAUUGCGAAGGCAGCUCGCUAAACUGUAACUGACGCUGAGGCACGAAAGCGUGGGGAUCAAACAGG